This is a long non-coding RNA of Felis catus (domestic cat), 1571 nucleotides long. RefSeq lists it as uncharacterized. NCBI's taxonomy places the organism in Eukaryota, Metazoa, Chordata, Mammalia, Carnivora, Felidae. The record is from RefSeq and is a predicted model, not a curated record. The transcript has 3 exons.
AGAACUGUUCCAGAAGGCUCCCUGUUGUGAGGUAAUAACCCUUUAGUGGUGGUUUGGGGAAGGUCUAGCGAGGGGUUCUUGUGGGAAAACCCAGGUGACUCUGGUGGUAAGGGCUCAGGAUAAUGGCUCUUUACAAGUAUUUAUUUUAAUAACAGCUAUAUUGUUAUAAACUGCUGAACGUCAGCCUUACUUUCCUGGAAGAAAUGAAAUAAAUGAAUCGACGAUUGACUUAUCCUCCGAGGGAUAAUCAGGUUGUCCGGAGUUCCGCAGAAAUCCACAGAAGCUUCUAAAGCCUCCAUGACGCCCACUGAUCAGAAAAAAGGUGACCAUGGAGAGGGACCCAACGGCCAUCGACUGAUGAAUGGACAGAGAAGAUGUGGUAUAUAAAUACAGUGGACUCUAAGUCAUCAAAAAAGAACGAAAGCGUGCCAUUUGCAACGAUGUGGAUGGAGCCAGUGUACUAUGCUAAGCCAAGCAUACAGUCAUUUUGAAUAAGCUGCGAACAAAAACAGACCCAAAACCAACCAACCAACGACGACAACCACCACCACCGCCCCCCUCGGGUACUUAAAUCGAGCACGUGACUGUUGUAAGUUUACGGUCACCCCUAGAUUACUCUUGUUGAAUAUGAACGUUAGGUCACAGACGGACAAAUUCACAUGUUGGCUAAAAGCACCACAUUUUCAGAGUCAAACUGUGGUAGUGUAUUUCCAAAACUGGUCACAGCACUCCCAACCCCAUCCCUUAAGUCCUUUUGCAGGACGAGCAUACUACCCCUCCGUCCAAAGAGACUGUUGAGUGUAUUUCUCCUCCCCUUGAAUCUGGGCUGACCCUGUGAUUUGCUCUGGCCAACGGAUGUGGUGAAAAUGACGGCUGUGUGAUUGCCAGGUCCGGCUCUCCAAAGAUCAUGCGGCUUCUGUCUCUGCCCCAGGCCUCCAUGUAGUCAGCACGGGGGACUUUAUCGGACAGAGGCUACGUGGAGAGCACCUCAGCGGACAGACAGGACCAAGGCCCCAGGCUAUACGUGAAGCCUUACUGGAUCCUCACAGAUAACCUGUUAUACCCAGACAACCUCAACGGAAGUAGAGACAAGCUGUACCUGGCUGAAUCCUGCCUGAAUUUCUCAUGCACAGAAUCAUGAACAAUAAAAUGGUUCAUGUUUUCAGCCCCUAUGUUUGGGUGAGGUUGUACAGCAACAGAAACAGUGGCUAGCCCACUCUAGGAGAACCACUUCGAGCAAGGAUUCAUAACUCAGGCAGUAUUUGGAGGGUCUAUACUUCUGAGCCUUAUCGGGGAAUGGAAUCCGUCGUUUUCCUCUGAUUCUUAAUGGAGUCUUUGUCUCCAAGAGGACUAAGAAGCACCGAUUUAUGGGUCAUUCAAAGUGAAACACCAUCGCCAACAAAGGUUUUCAUUUUGUUUAUGAAAAUAAUACAUGCUGUGCUAGUAAAAGAAUAAGAGUACAAAAGUAUAUUCAAUAAAAGACUGUCCCAAAAGCACGGGAAAAAAAUUGGUGUGUAUCCUCCCAAAGUACAUAAAUACUAUGAAUCAAUUUGGAGAAAUUAAAAUGGUAU